UACGGAGGGGCAAGCGUUGUUCGGAUUUACUGGGCGUAAAGGGCGCGUAGGCGGAUGUUCGCGUCAGAGGUGAAAGCCCCGGGCUCAACCUGGGAACUGCCUUUGAAACGGGACAUCUUGAGUUCGGAAGAGGGUAGCGGAAUUCCCAGUGUAGAGGUGAAAUUCGUAGAUAUUGGGAAGAACACCAGUAGCGAAGGCGGCUACCUGGUCCGACACUGACGCUGAGGCGCGAAAGCGUGGGGAGCAAACAGGAUUAGAUACCCCCGUAGUCCCUGAGCGGGCUGG
This 285-nucleotide ribosomal RNA is filed under the name uncultured prokaryote. RNAcentral describes it as "partial 16S ribosomal RNA". It matches the Rfam family "Bacterial small subunit ribosomal RNA", at positions 524 to 819 of the family's 1533-position model. The record is from RNAcentral.